UGUCAAGAGUUUUAAGCGUCGAUUCGGCGGACGGAUUUCUUUUGCCUAAUUGAAGGCGAAGGAAGAAA
Non-coding RNA from Mesorhizobium sp. L48C026A00, 68 nucleotides. Lineage: Bacteria; Pseudomonadati; Pseudomonadota; Alphaproteobacteria; Hyphomicrobiales; Phyllobacteriaceae. The record is from Rfam.